Long non-coding RNA from Prionailurus viverrinus (fishing cat), 648 nucleotides. RefSeq lists it as uncharacterized. Lineage: Eukaryota; Metazoa; Chordata; Mammalia; Carnivora; Felidae. The record is from RefSeq and is a predicted model, not a curated record. The transcript has 3 exons.
CCAACCAACCCUGAAGUCCUGGGAAUUCAUCUCCUCGAGGUCUCUCAAUUCAGCCUUCCCCCAACUCCACUGCCUUGCCUGUCCCCACUCCUCACCUGGUUUUGUAUGGCUCCUUCUUCAAACCUUCUACCAAGCCAUCUCUCCACUCUCUAAGUCCUCACACUGUGGCCAGCACUGUCUAAAACCCAAAGCCCGUCAAGUACCAGGACAGGCAUGCACCCCCACUGCCUACAGGAUAAAGGCUGAACCCUUGGGAUUUCUGAGGGCCCAAGUGAGUUCCAGGAAUCAUGGGAGAGACAAGAGAAAUGGCAGACAUUGCUUCUGUUCCCAGAGAGUCACAAAAAAACCUAGGAAGACAGAGAAACACAGGAAGCUGCCUGUGAGGCACACCCACAGCCCAUAAAUGCAGUCUACUCGUGAGAAAAAACAUCAGGCAAAUCCCAAGCGAGGGACAUUCUACAAAACAGCCGACCAGUUCUCAAAAACACGGGAAGUCUGAGACGCCGUCACAGCUAAGGGAAGCCUGAGGAGACGCACCGACUACAGGUGGCGCUCUAAGACAUAACAUCAAGAUGAGGGUACUAUGCAUCAGCGAGACCUCAGCACCUGGGUCCUGGAUUCCAGUCCUCACCCUGAGGGAUCAUCUUG